Molecule: ribosomal RNA, 446 nt
Filed under: uncultured bacterium
Lineage: Bacteria
Description: partial 16S ribosomal RNA
Rfam family: Bacterial small subunit ribosomal RNA
Source: RNAcentral
CCUACGGGCGGCAGCAGUCGAGAAUCAUUCACAAUGGGGGAAACCCUGAUGCUGCGACGCCGCGUGGGGGAAUGAAGGUCUUCGGAUUGUAAACCCCUGUCAUGUGGGAGCAAAUUAAAAAGAUAGUACCACAAGAGGAAGAGACGGCUAACUCUGUGCCAGCAGCCGCGGUAAUACAGAGGUCUCAAGCGUUGUUCGGAAUCACUGGGCGUAAAGCGUGCGUAGGCUGUUUCGUAAGUCGUGUGUGAAAGGCGCGGGCUCAACCCGCGGACGGCACAUGAUACUGGGAGACUAGAGUAAGGGAGAGGGAAGCGGAAUUCUCGGUGUAGCAGUGAAAUGCGUAGAUAUCGAGAGGAACACUCGUGGCGAAGGCGGGUUCCUGGACAUUAACUGACGCUGAGGCACGAAGGCCAGGGGAGCGAAAGGGAUUAGAUACCCUGGUAGUC